Molecule: non-coding RNA, 600 nt
Organism: Tupaia belangeri chinensis (Chinese tree shrew)
Lineage: Eukaryota; Metazoa; Chordata; Mammalia; Scandentia; Tupaiidae
Source: the annotation of a RefSeq genome assembly
CUUCACAGAGCUUAGAGAGCUGGAUCAAGAAUUUGCUGAGCAGAGAGAAAAUACACAUGUCAGGAAACAGCAGGCUCCGUGAGGAAAAGUCAUUUCUAAAAGCUCUGUGCUGACACAGGGGUGCUGGUUCCUCUGUAAGAGUCUAUUGCUUGGUUGGGGUUAUUUCUUCAGCUGAAGUGGGCUUGAAAGGAGCCUCCAAUCAAGCUCAUCCAUGGCCUCUAGAUGCAUCUGGAUGAUUGUGAUUUCUUUCACAUCACGUGGACUGAGAGCUCAGUCUGUGAAUCAGCCAGAAGAUCAGGUGAAUGUUGCAGAAGGGGAUCCUCUGACUUUGAGAUGUACUUAUUCAGUUUCUAGGAGUCCUUAUCUCUUUUGGUAUGUCCAAUAUCCCAACCAAGGCCUCCAGUUUCUUCUAAAAUACAUCUCAGGGGACAGCCUGGUGAAAGGCAGCUACGGUUUUGAGGCUGAAUUUAAUAAGAGCCAAACCUCUUUCCACCUGAAGAAACCAUCUGCUCUUUGGAGUGACUCUGCUCUGUACUUCUGUGCUGUGAGUGACACAGUAAUGGAGGCUGCAGGGGAAGUUGAACAGAAAACCUGAGGAUA